Molecule: ribosomal RNA, 595 nt
Filed under: Tricholoma matsutake
Lineage: Eukaryota; Fungi; Basidiomycota; Agaricomycetes; Agaricales; Tricholomataceae
Description: eukaryotic LSU rRNA
Rfam family: 5.8S ribosomal RNA (bases 237-391)
Source: RNAcentral
CUUGGUUAGGUUGUCGCUGGCUCUCCGGGGCAUGUGCACGCCUGACGCCAAUCUUUUCACCACCUGUGCACAUUUUGUAGGCUUGGAUAAAUAUGUCUCGAGGAAGCUCGGGUUGAGGACUGCCGUGCUGCAAAACCCAGGCUUUCCUUGUAUUUUUCCAGCCUAUGCAUUUUAUUAUACACUCGGUAUGUCAUGGAAUGUUAUUUGGUUGGCUUAAUUGCCAGUAAACCUUAUACAACUUUCAACAACGGAUCUCUUGGCUCUCGCAUCGAUGAAAAACGCAGACGAAAUGCGAUAAGUAAUGUGAAUUGCAAAAUUCAGUGAAUCAUCAAAUCUUUGAACGCACCUUGCGCUCCUUGGAAUUCCGAGGAGCAUGCCUGUUUGAGUGUCAUGAAAUUCUCAACCUUUUCAGCUUUUUGUUGAAUAGGCUUGGAUUUUGGGAGUUGUUGCAAGCUGCUCACAACUCUGCUCUCCUUAAAUGUAUUAGACGGGGCCCUUGUUGUCUAGCAUUUGGUGUGAUAAUUAUCUACGCCAUUGUGAACAAUGUAAUAGGUCGGCUUCUAAUCGUCUCGUAAAGAGACAAUCUCUGACAUUU